GACGAACGCUGGCGGCGUGCCUAAUACAUGCAAGUCGAGCGGAGUUGAAAAAAAGUUUACUUUUUUUCUUCUCAGCGGCGGACGGGUGAGUAACACGUGGGCAACCUGCCCUGUAGACUGGGAUAACUUCGGGAAACCGAAGCUAAUACCGGAUAAUCAUAGAAGUUGCAUAGCUUCUAUGUAAAAGUUGGGUUUACCUAACACUACAGGAUGGGCCCGCGUCGCAUUAGCUAGUUGGUAAGGUAACGGCUACCAAGGCGACGAUGCGUAGCCGACCUGAGAGGGUGAUCGGCCACACUGGGACUGAGACACGGCCCAGACUCCUACGGGAGGCAGCAGUAGGGAAUCUUUCCCGCAAUGGACGAAAAUUCUGACGGAGCAAACCGCCGCGUGAAGCGAAGAAGGCCUUUCGGGUUCGUA
RNAcentral lists this ribosomal RNA (420 nucleotides) under Bacillus sp. oral taxon C44. RNAcentral's name for it is "bacterial SSU rRNA". It matches the Rfam family "Bacterial small subunit ribosomal RNA", at positions 28 to 427 of the family's 1533-position model. Lineage: Bacteria; Bacillati; Bacillota; Bacilli; Caryophanales; Bacillaceae. The record is from RNAcentral.